Molecule: ribosomal RNA, 328 nt
Filed under: uncultured eukaryote
Lineage: Eukaryota
Description: partial 18S ribosomal RNA
Rfam family: Eukaryotic small subunit ribosomal RNA
Source: RNAcentral
CCCUUAGAUGUCCGGGGCUGCACGCGCGCUACACUGAAGGAAUCAGCGUGCUAAAACCAUUGUCGAAAGGCAUUGGUAAACCCAUUAAAAUCCUACGUGAUUGGGAUCGGGAAUUGCAAUUAUUUCCCUUGAACGAGGAAUUCCCAGUAAGUGUGGGUCAUAAGCUCGCGUUGAUUACGUCCCUGCCCUUUGUACACACCGCCCGUCGCUGCCCGGGACUGAGCCGUUUCGAGAAAAGCGGGGACUGCUGCUGUCGGGGCUUUCGGGCCUUGGCUUCGGUGGAAACCGCUUUAAUCGUAGUGGCUUGAACCGGGCAAAANUCGUAACA